CAGCAGCCACGGUAAUACGUAGGGUGCGAGCGUUAAUCGGAAUUACUGGGCGUAAAGCGUGCGCAGGCGGUUUUGUAAGACAGAGGUGAAAUCCCCGGGCUCAACCUGGGAACUGCCUUUGUGACUGCAAGGCUAGAGUACGGCAGAGGGGGAUGGAAUUCCGCGUGUAGCAGUGAAAUGCGUAGAUAUGCGGAGGAACACCGAUGGCGAAGGCAAUCCCCUGGGCCUGUACUGACGCUCAUGCACGAAAGCGUGGGGAGCAAACAGGAUUAGAUACCCCGGUAGUCCCUGUCUCUUAUAC
RNAcentral lists this ribosomal RNA (301 nucleotides) under uncultured bacterium. Its description in RNAcentral is "partial 16S ribosomal RNA". It matches the Rfam family "Bacterial small subunit ribosomal RNA", at positions 509 to 807 of the family's 1533-position model. The record is from RNAcentral.